AGGACGAACGCUGGCGGCGUGCUUAACACAUGCAAGUCGAGCGGUAAGGCCUUUCGGGGUACACGAGCGGCGAACGGGUGAGUAACACGUGGGUGAUCUGCCCUGCACUUCGGGAUAAGCCUGGGAAACUGGGUCUAAUACCGGAUAUGACCUCCUAUCGCAUGGUGGGUGGUGGAAAGAUUUAUCGGUGCAGGAUGGGCCCGCGGCCUAUCAGCUUGUUGGUGGGGUAAUGGCCUACCAAGGCGACGACGGGUAGCCGACCUGAGAGGGUGACCGGCCACGACUGGGACUGAGACACGGCCCAGACUCCUACGGGAGGCAGCAGUGGGGAAUAUUGCACAAUGGGCGAAAGCCUGAUGCAGCGACGCCGCGUGAGGAUGACGGCCUUCGGGUUGUAAACCUCUUUCAGCGAGGACGAAGCGCAAGUGACGGUACCUGCAGAAGAAGCACCGGCUAACUACGUGCCAGCAGCCGC
RNAcentral lists this ribosomal RNA (475 nucleotides) under uncultured soil bacterium. Its description in RNAcentral is "bacterial SSU rRNA". It matches the Rfam family "Bacterial small subunit ribosomal RNA", at positions 26 to 518 of the family's 1533-position model. The record is from RNAcentral.